AUACGGAGGGUGCAAGCGUUGCUCGGAAUCACUGGGCGUAAAGCGAACGCAGGCGGGAAGUUAAGUCGGAUGUGAAAGCCCAGGGCUCAACCCUGGAACUGCAUUCGAAACUGGCUUUCUUGAGUUCGGGAGAGGUAAGCAGAAUUCCUGGAGUAGAGGUGAAAUUCGUAGAUAUCAGGAGGAACACCCGUGGCGAAAGCGGCUUACUGGCCCGAUACUGACGCUCAUGUUCGAAAGCGUGGGGAGCAAACAGGAUUAGAAACCCCGGUAGUCC
RNAcentral lists this ribosomal RNA (274 nucleotides) under uncultured bacterium. Its description in RNAcentral is "partial 16S ribosomal RNA". It matches the Rfam family "Bacterial small subunit ribosomal RNA", at positions 523 to 796 of the family's 1533-position model. The record is from RNAcentral.